RNAcentral lists this ribosomal RNA (301 nucleotides) under uncultured bacterium. RNAcentral's name for it is "partial 16S ribosomal RNA". It matches the Rfam family "Bacterial small subunit ribosomal RNA", at positions 509 to 807 of the family's 1533-position model. The record is from RNAcentral.
CAGCAGCCACGGUAAUACGGAGGGAGCUAGCGUUGUUCGGAAUUACUGGGCGUAAAGCGCACGUAGGCGGCUUUGUAAGUCAGAGGUGAAAGCCUGGAGCUCAACUCCAGAACUGCCUUUGAGACUGCAUCGCUCGAAUCCGGGAGAGGUGAGUGGAAUUCCGAGUGUAGAGGUGAAAUUCGUAGAUAUUCGGAAGAACACCAGUGGCGAAGGCGGCUCACUGGACCGGUAUUGACGCUGAGGUGCGAAAGCGUGGGGAGCAAACAGGAUUAGAUACCCCGGUAGUCCCUGUCUCUUAUAC